GAAGAGGUGUUUUGGUGAAAUGAAAGGUUUGAUUGGGGUUCAGAAAAGGGGUUGAAUUUAAUUCUUCUUCA
RNAcentral lists this transfer RNA (71 nucleotides) under Gari togata. RNAcentral describes it as "tRNA-Pro". The record is from RNAcentral. Lineage: Eukaryota; Metazoa; Mollusca; Bivalvia; Cardiida; Psammobiidae.